GACGAACGCUGGCGGCGUGCCUAAUACAUGCAAGUCGAACGAACUCUGGUAUUGAUUGGUGCUUGCAUCAUGAUUUACAUUUGAGUGAGUGGCGAACUGGUGAGUAACACGUGGGAAACCUGCCCAGAAGAGGGGGAUAACACCUGGAAACAGAUGCUAAUACCGCAUAACAACUUGGACCGCAUGGUCCGAGUUUGAAAGAUGGCUUCGGCUAUCACUUUUGGAUGGUCCCGCGGCGUAUUAGCUAGAUGGUGAGGUAACGGCUCACCAUGGCAAUGAUACGUAGCCGACCUGAGAGGGUAAUCGGCCACAUUGGGACUGAGACACGGCCCAAACUCCUACGGGAGGCAGCAGUAGGGAAUCUUCCACAAUGGACGAAAGUCUGAUGGAGCAACGCCGCGUGAGUGAAGAAGGGUUUCGGCUCGUAAAACUCUGUUGUUAAAGAAGAACAUAUCUGAGAGUAACUGUUCAGGUAUUGACGGUAUUUAACCAGAAAGCCACGGCUAACUACGUGCCAGCAGCCGCGGUAAUACGUAGGUGGCAAGCGUUGUCCGGAUUUAUUGGGCGUAAAGCGAGCGCAGGCGGUUUUUUAAGUCUGAUGUGAAAGCCUUCGGCUCAACCGAAGAAGUGCAUCGGAAACUGGGAAACUUGAGUGCAGAAGAGGACAGUGGAACUCCAUGUGUAGCGGUGAAAUGCGUAGAUAUAUGGAAGAACACCAGUGGCGAAGGCGGCUGUCUGGUCUGUAACUGACGCUGAGGCUCGAAAGUAUGGGUAGCAAACAGGAUUAGAUACCCUGGUAGUCCAUACCGUAAACGAUGAAUGCUAAGUGUUGGAGGGUUUCCGCCCUUCAGUGCUGCAGCUAACGCAUUAAGCAUUCCGCCUGGGGAGUACGGCCGCAAGGCUGAAACUCAAAGGAAUUGACGGGGGCCCGCACAAGCGGUGGAGCAUGUGGUUUAAUUCGAAGCUACGCGAAGAACCUUACCAGGUCUUGACAUACUAUGCAAAUCUAAGAGAUUAGACGUUCCCUUCGGGGACAUGGAUACAGGUGGUGCAUGGUUGUCGUCAGCUCGUGUCGUGAGAUGUUGGGUUAAGUCCCGCAACGAGCGCAACCCUUAUUAUCAGUUGCCAGCAUUAAGUUGGGCACUCUGGUGAGACUGCCGGUGACAAACCGGAGGAAGGUGGGGAUGACGCCAAAUCAUCAUGCCCCUUAUGACCUGGGCUACACACGUGCUACAAUGGAUGGUACAACGAGUUGCGAACUCGCGAGAGUAAGCUAAUCUCUUAAAGCCAUUCUCAGUUCGGAUUGUAGGCUGCAACUCGCCUACAUGAAGUCGGAAUCGCUAGUAAUCGCGGAUCAGCAUGCCGCGGUGAAUACGUUCCCGGGCCUUGUACACACCGCCCGUCACACCAUGAGAGUUUGUAACACCCAAAGUCGGUGGGGUAACCUUUUAGGAACCAGCCGCCUAAGGUGGGACAGAUGAUUAGGGUG
Molecule: ribosomal RNA, 1489 nt
Filed under: Lactiplantibacillus argentoratensis
Lineage: Bacteria; Bacillati; Bacillota; Bacilli; Lactobacillales; Lactobacillaceae
Description: bacterial SSU rRNA
Rfam family: Bacterial small subunit ribosomal RNA
Source: RNAcentral